AAACUACAAAGGAAUUGACGGGACCCGCACAAGCGGUGGAUGAUGUGGUUUAAUUCGAUGCAACGCGAAAACCUUACCUACCUUUGACAUGUACGGAACUCGCCAGAGAUGGCUUGGUGCUCGAAAGAGAACCGUAACACAGGUGCUGCAUGGCUGUCGUCAGCUCGUGUCGUGAGAUGUUGGGUUAAGUCCCGCAACGAGCGCAACCCUUGUCAUUAGUUGCUACAUUUAGUUAGGCACUCUAAUGAGACUGCCGGUGACAAACCGGAGGAAGGUGGGGAUGACGUCAAGUCCUCAUGGCCCUUAUAGGUAGGGUUACACACGUCAUACAAUGGCUGGUACAAAGGGUUGCCAACCCGCGAGGGGGAGCUAAUCCCAUAAAGCCAGUCGUAGUCCGGAUCGCAGUCUGCAACUCGACUGCGUGAAGUCGGAAUCGCUAGUAAUCGUGGAUCAGAAUGUCACGGUGAAUACGUUCCCGGGUCUU
This 484-nucleotide ribosomal RNA is filed under the name uncultured Rhodoferax sp. RNAcentral's name for it is "bacterial SSU rRNA". It matches the Rfam family "Bacterial small subunit ribosomal RNA", at positions 896 to 1382 of the family's 1533-position model. Lineage: Bacteria; Pseudomonadati; Pseudomonadota; Betaproteobacteria; Burkholderiales; Comamonadaceae. The record is from RNAcentral.